This 486-nucleotide ribosomal RNA is filed under the name uncultured bacterium. Its description in RNAcentral is "partial 16S ribosomal RNA". It matches the Rfam family "Bacterial small subunit ribosomal RNA", at positions 29 to 507 of the family's 1533-position model. The record is from RNAcentral.
AUUGAACGCUGGCGGCAUGCCUUACACAUGCAAGUCGAACGGCAGCACGGGGGGUAACCCCUGGUGGCGAGUGGCGAACGGGUGAGUAAUAUAUCGGAACGUGUCCUGUAGCGGGGGAUAACCUAUCGAAAGAUGGACUAAUACCGCAUACGACCUACGGGUGAAAGCGGAGGACCGCAAGGCUUCGCACUAUAGGAGCGGCCGAUAUCGGAUUAGCUAGUUGGCGGGGUAACGGCCCACCAAGGCGACGAUCCGUAGCUGGUCUGAGAGGACGAUCAGCCACACUGGAACUGAGACACGGUCCAGACUCCUACGGGAGGCAGCAGUGGGGAAUUUUGGACAAUGGGCGCAAGCCUGAUCCAGCCAUGCCGCGUGAGUGAAGAAGGCCUUCGGGUUGUAAAGCUCUUUCGGCCGGGACGAAACGGUUCGUGCUAAUACCACGGACUACUGACGGUACCCGCAGAAGAAGCACCGGCUAACUACGUG